UUAGGGUGCUAAAAUCCUCAUGUUAAAAGGAGUUUCAACGUGGAAAGGUAUUUGACACCUUAAUGCCCCAAAACACCACCUUGAGGACUCUAAGUGCACUUUUUGAUAAGAUCUUCACACCCCUUAAGAAGAGGGUGCUCAAAGAUUUUGAUGUGAGAAAAAGAAAAACAUUUUCUUAUGGGAAUAAGAAGCAGUUGGACUCCAAAAAUCUCAUGCCUCCCUCA
This 224-nucleotide long non-coding RNA is filed under the name Elaeis guineensis (African oil palm). Its description in RNAcentral is "long non-coding RNA (EGUI_LNC049087)". The record is from RNAcentral. Lineage: Eukaryota; Viridiplantae; Streptophyta; Magnoliopsida; Arecales; Arecaceae.